GGUUGUGGCUCAGUGGUAGAGCGCUUGUCUCACAUGUUGAAGCACUGGGUUCCAUUCUCAGCACCA
RNAcentral lists this transfer RNA (66 nucleotides) under Marmota monax (woodchuck). RNAcentral describes it as "tRNA.Val". The record is from RNAcentral. Lineage: Eukaryota; Metazoa; Chordata; Mammalia; Rodentia; Sciuridae.